CAGUCGCCACGGGAAUACGUAGGUGGCAAGCGUUGUCCGGAAUUAUUGGGCGUAAAGGGCUCGCAGGCGGUUUCUUAAGUCUGAUGUGAAAGCCCCCGGCUCAACCGGGGAGGGUCAUUGGAAACUGGGAAACUUGAGUGCAGAAGAGGAGAGUGGAAUUCCACGUGUAGCGGUGAAAUGCGUAGAGAUGUGGAGGAACACCAGUGGCGAAGGCGACUCUCUGGUCUGUAUCUGACGCUGAGGAGCGAAAGCGUGGGGAGCGAACAGGAUUAGAUACCCCGGUAGUCCCUGUCUCUUAUAC
This 301-nucleotide ribosomal RNA is filed under the name uncultured bacterium. RNAcentral describes it as "partial 16S ribosomal RNA". It matches the Rfam family "Bacterial small subunit ribosomal RNA", at positions 509 to 807 of the family's 1533-position model. The record is from RNAcentral.